GACGAACGCUGGCGGCGUGCUUAACACAUGCAAGUCGAACGAGUGGCGAACGGGUGAGUAACACGUGUGUGACCUGCCCUGCACUUCGGGAUAAUCCUGGGAAACUGGGUCUGAUACCGGCUAGUUUGGGAUGGGCCCGCCGCCUAUCAGCUUGUUGGUGGGGUAAUGGCUACCAAGGCGCGACGGGUAGCCGGCCUGGGAGGGUGGGCGGCCACAUUGGGACUGAGACACGGCCCAGACUCCUACGGGAGGCAGCAGUGGGGAAUAUUGCACAAUGGGCGGAAGCCUGAUGCAGCGACGCCGCGUGGGUGAUGACGGCCUUCGGGUUGUAAAGUACUUUCAGCGGGGAGGCGUUACCCGCAGAAGAAGCACCGGCUAACUCCGUGCCAGCAGCCGCGGUAAUUC
This 405-nucleotide ribosomal RNA is filed under the name uncultured bacterium. Its description in RNAcentral is "partial 16S ribosomal RNA". It matches the Rfam family "Bacterial small subunit ribosomal RNA", at positions 28 to 526 of the family's 1533-position model. The record is from RNAcentral.